GAUGAACGCUGGCGGCGUGCCUAAUACAUGCAAGUCGAGCGAACGGACGAGAAGCUUGCUUCUCUGAUGUUAGCGGCGGACGGGAGAGUAACACGUGGAUAACCUACCUAUAAGACUGGGAUAACUUCGGGAAACUGUAGCUCAUACCGGAUAAUAUUUUGAUCCGCUUGGUUCAAAAGUGAAAGACUGUCUUGCUGUCACUUAUAGAUUGAUCCGCUCUGCAUUAGCUAGAUGGUAAGGUAACGGAUUACCAAGGCAACGAUGCAUAGCCGAACUGAGAGGGCGAUCGGCCACUCGUGAGCUGAGAUGAGGUCCAACCUCCGACGGGAGGCAGGAGUAGGGAAUCUUCCGCAAUGGGCGGAAGCCUGACGGAGGAAAGGCGCGUGAGUGAGGAAGAUCUUCGGAUCGUAAAACUCUGUUAUUAGGGAAGAACAUAGGUGUAAGUAACUGUGCACAUCUUGACGGUACCUAAACAGAAAGCCACGGCUAACUACGUG
RNAcentral lists this ribosomal RNA (497 nucleotides) under uncultured bacterium. RNAcentral's name for it is "partial 16S ribosomal RNA". It matches the Rfam family "Bacterial small subunit ribosomal RNA", at positions 28 to 507 of the family's 1533-position model. The record is from RNAcentral.